CUGGAUUGCAAUAAUAUUGUAACUGGUGUAGCUGUUCACAAGGUGCAUGGAGUAAAUCAGCUAGGAAAUAACAACAGCAAAGAAAUCCAGCAGCACUUGUGAUGAAUUUAAUUAUACAUUUAAACUUACCAACACAAUUUGGCUUUCAAGCCUUCAUUUUAACAUUUUUUUAUUUUAUUUUUUUUUAUUUUCAAUGAAUCUCAGGGAGACAGCAUCAACCUUGCACUUAUAUAUUUACACUUAGUACUACUAAAUAAAAUGGCAGCAUUUAACAAAACAUUGCUUAUUUCAGUUUGUUUACAUGCUGUAAAGUGUCCAAACAGUCGGAUUCACUAACACUUUGCAAUGCUGUAUAUAAAAGAGGACCAUUAUUAUGUUUGAUUAUUUGCCCAGCUAACUUGACGGGAAAGCGCUUGACAGUGUCACAAUAAAUGCAGCAUGCUGAACUGCAUUACUACACAAUGGAAAAUAUUACACUACUGCACUACUGUCAUGCCACUGCUAAAUAUAGUUAAGUUAGUAAUGUUUCUACUUUUAGUUAGUUAAUCCCCAACACUGAAUAACAGUUUAGUGUCACUACACUGCUUUACUACUGGAGGAGCUACACAGUUUCAAAAACUGCUUUGCAUUACAGUCACCGCCUCAGCCGUGGUGCCGAAUGUUUGUGAUCAAGGGUCCGAGAUCAGGUCUAUCAACACAGGAAAGCGCGGGAAGAGGAUUAGUCAAGGUGAAGACAACAGUGUCAUUGUUCAUACGCUGGAAGGGUGGAUCCUUUCCUCUGGACAGGUUGUGGUUUCUUCUCUUGGUAUGUACAGAUCACCUCCCCUGUCACAGCACAGAUAAGGCGAGCACACGGAUGUUUUUCUUUUUUUUUCUAUUUCUUUUUUUUUUCUCGUAGCAGUAUGCUAAUGGCUAGGGCACGAGCUAAGCUGACAGGUGAAGGUGGGGAUGGAUGAGUGUGAUGUGACAGAUGUCUGAAGGUGGGGGCGACAAUGACGUCGCUCGAGAUACCAGACUCCAAUGACCUGACUGUGAACCUGGGGGCCAGGAGACCAAAUGAUUGCCUCUCCGAUUAGAGCAACAUACCUGCGGGCUAUUUCCAUAACCUGACCAUACCACACACCAAUUACCCAGAAUUCAACAAGCCUGCUGUGACCUGCCAUGCCAAAAGAGACUUAGCAGACCUCGCUGUAUGUGACAGCUUUACUUACAUGUUCAUUAAUAAGAUCACUUUGCACAGACAUAACUAAAACUAUAUAUGUUUAAAAAAAAUAAAGAAAAAAAAAAGAUUUAUGCUACUUGAAAU
Molecule: long non-coding RNA, 1306 nt
Organism: Cyprinus carpio (common carp)
Lineage: Eukaryota; Metazoa; Chordata; Actinopteri; Cypriniformes; Cyprinidae
Source: Ensembl